GUGCUUGCUUUGGCAGCACAUAUACUAAAAUUGGAACGACGCAGAGAAGAUUAGCAUGGCCCAUAUGCAAGGAUGACACGCAUAUUUGUGAAGCGUUCCAUAAAAAAUUUUU
Molecule: small nuclear RNA, 112 nt
Organism: Prolemur simus (greater bamboo lemur)
Lineage: Eukaryota; Metazoa; Chordata; Mammalia; Primates; Lemuridae
Source: Ensembl